Molecule: long non-coding RNA, 575 nt
Organism: Micropterus dolomieu (smallmouth bass)
Lineage: Eukaryota; Metazoa; Chordata; Actinopteri; Centrarchiformes; Centrarchidae
Exons: 2
Source: RefSeq, a predicted model, not a curated record
UUUAUAAAGCUGUGCACAGUGCCCAUUACUGUCUGCAUUGUAAGCCUUAAGAUCUGUUGGGUAUUAGGUGUGGGAAGAAACCAAGUUUUAGUCUGCUCCCACUGAGAUGACUAAUUGGCUGGCUAGUUGGUUGGCUGGCUGACCAGCAGGCCGAACAACUGACUGACAAUGGAGAGACACGCUGAGGAAAGACGGGAAAUACAUGGGAUUACGUGGCAGGCUCUCUGUUGCUAUGGCGACUGUUCCUGCCACCGCUGAGAAAGAAAGGAUACCUGAGGAGAGGAAGAGAGGACAGUAGAGGAGCGAAUAGAGAGAUGCAGAUGGAUAGAGAAGACAUAGAUAUGAGUACACUUUGGUCUAGAUUCUAGAUCAUGUGAAUAUGUGCACAAUAACCAAGCGGCAUCUUCUGGGUUUGAAAAGUGAAGCCAAUGUGGAAGUGCUUUAAACCUGAAUUCUUUCUAAUGGCCAGCAGGGGGUGACUCCUCUGGUUACAAGUGGUCAGACUGCAUUGUAAUCUAUGACAAAAUGACCCUACUUCUCACUUGAUUUACCUCAGUAAAUUACUUUCCUAAUGA